Non-coding RNA from Sus scrofa (pig), 4118 nucleotides. Lineage: Eukaryota; Metazoa; Chordata; Mammalia; Artiodactyla; Suidae. The record is from RefSeq and is a predicted model, not a curated record.
CCCGGCCCCCUCCUGAGUGCUGCGGUUCACAGCCCCAGAGCCCGAGCCACGUGGAUCUGCAGAUGAGGAGGCGGAAUUCUUGCCUUGGUGGAGGAAAGGCCCUCUAAUGCGGUGCCGCCGUACCUUCUGUGAGCCUGGCCUGCGUCUGCUGCCUGGCCCGUAACCUGUGUUCCACCACUGAGAGCCCGUGACUGUUGAAUCCGUAUCUGUAACACAGAAGAGGAUGGGGAGGGGACAAGGUUAGAGCCCUCAGGUGGAAAGCAAGGACUCUGGAGAGACAGCUAUGCGGCUGUUUUCAACAUCUACUUAGGUUUGUUUGGGGUUUUUUGUUUUGGUUUUGUUUUUGCUUUUUGUCUUUUGUCUUUUUAGGGCUGCACCUACGGCAUAUGGAGGCUCCCAGGCUAGGAGGUCGAAACAGUUACAGCUGCCGGCCUACACCACAGACACAGCAAUGCAGGAUCCAAGCCGCAUCCGCAACCUGUACCAUGGCUAACGGCAACACUGGAUCCUUAACCCACUGAGUAAGGCCGGAGAUAAAACCUGCAUCCACAUCGAUCCUAGUCGGGUUUGUUAACCACUGCGCCGUGAUGGGAGCUCCUACUUAAGACUUUAUAAGCUGAAAAGAAAAAAUCAAUUUUUAGCCUUCUAAACAUCCUUGGAACUCCUAGAGAACAUGCCAGAACACCAUCAAAUGCAAAAGGAAAGAUGAAAAUGGGCCAACUAGCCCUGUAAUCAGCCCUGUCAGGGUACAGCCCACUCCUCCUUACUCCCCGCUGCCCCACCUGCCCCCACCCCAGCGGGGCCCUCACCCCGCUGAUAACCCAUCUUCCCACCUGCCUGUGCCCCAAGAACGUGCCUCCUGGAACCCAUCCUGCUGCCCCCUUUCCCCAUCCUUUCUGCCUGUUAAAUGGCUUCUUCCUGGCCCAGGUCAAAGGCUCUCCCCCUCCUUGCAUAGAUCUCUCAGCCACAAAUGAUUGCUCACCCGCUGGCAUUCCUGAAGCGCGUCAUACCUCUUUCUCUUGGCUCAGGAGGUGUGUGUGUGCUUCAGUUCCCCUACUGGGUUACGGCUGAGAACAAGGGACUUCUGCCUCUGUGUCUAGUGGCAGAUAAUGGCGAUGUGUCCCUUGUCCUUGAAACAAGCAGGAUAAAACAGGAUAUGCAGGCCAAUUUAACUUCCCUUACGCCAGCCUCCCAGGAGGUCACUGAUGGUUUCAAAGGUGCCCAUCAAAAUCCCCUCCAGGAGGCUCUCAAAAUUCUGUUAUCAAAACAGAACUUCUUCACUUGCUGAGUUGGCUGUCAUGAAAACUGCCAGGGAUUAUGAAGAGAAGGGCUUUACACACUUUUGAAGGAUGUCUCCUCCUAAAAGCAGCUGUCUAUACCAAUUAAAUUUUCCAGGUACUAAAGCAGAGGUCUGAGCAGAGCUACUAGUCACAUGUGGCUGUGGAGCAUGUGAAUCCGGCCAGUCCAACCUGAGAGCUAUUAGGAAAACAGCGCAUUUCAAGAUUUGGGACAAGUAAAAGAAGGUCCAGCCAGAGUCCUGAAUGGUUCACGAUUCCCACCUGAUGGAGUCAACGAAUCAAGUAGCAAGACCCAGACGUGAAAAGGUUGGAGAAGAAUCGGGGUAUCAUAAAGCCAGCGGUUGACGAUGGAAUCGCCACUGUCAGCUGAUGUGGCAGGAAGGCCUGUGCCGGAACUGGCAAGGGUCCAGGGUGGGCACCCUCUGCUCUUGGAAGCAGGAGGAAGAAAGGCUGCCCCCCAAAAGUGGGGAAACCAAGCUGAGAGUGUGCCUCAGGGGCUGGGUGGCAGGGAGGGUGGCUGUACAACAGGUCCUCCAGGGAGCCUACAGUCCUCAUGCCCAGCGAUGGAGGUCAGAUGGGGCUGGCAUGAGGCCAGAGCCUCUGUGUAGAGGGACCCCCCCUGCUUUGCCAAAGGUCUCUUUAUGCCACUUGGCUUUGAGGAAAGACCUACCUUAGUACCCGUUUUCUCGAACGGAAAGGAAUACAAUGAGGAUUUUCACCUCUUGAAAAAAAAGGUGACACAACUGCUGAAAACUUUAAGACGGGAAGUAAACGAGAUUCUAAAAUGAAAAGGGAAAAUGGAGAAAAGGCCUCUUGGAUAAAGUAACCCUUCCCCAAGGAGGUGAGUGCUGCUUGUUGAUGUUGUCUUCAUGCUCAUAAUCCUUGUAAUCCCCCCCCACCCCCAAUUUGGUAAGAAGCCUCUCAAAACUGUCAAGAGAUGAGGACGUGGAGGCUUCCACAUUGUUAGCUGCAGAGACCCCAGCACACAGAAAAGUAGGGGACCCAUGCUGGGGCCUGUGUGUUGAAUGAAGCACGGAAUGAGGCUGGGACAGGAGCUGCAUGCUCUCCUCGAAGGGCUUGGCUAGACGUGCUGACGUCAUGUUAGAUGCUGGCACGCUUCCCUUUUCAGCAGAAGUGAGCCCCAAGCUACUGAGACCUCGGCCAGGCAAAUGGUGGCCAAGGGGACAGAUGCCAAGCCAGAUUCCAUGGGUUUGAAUCCUGGCUCUGCCACUUUCCAGCUGUGUGCCUUUGGGUGUUACAGGAGCACCUACCAGCAUGUCAGAGUCUUGAAACGUGGCCCGAGGAAGGAGCCCCAGGGAUGUGAAGCGAAUGGCCAGCCUGUGAGCUGUCUCUGGGUCUAGCAGCCCCUGCAGAGCCGGCAUCAGGAGUUCCCUGUAGAAACGCUCAUCCCCCGUGGCUGUCAGCCACUCAUCUUUCAACCCUGUGUCACCAGCCUGCUUAUGCCAAUCUCGUCAGUACUUUCUUACCCUCAUGGUGCACAUCUUGGAAUAUUCCUCUCUUUGACACUCCUGCUCUCUUCCCGCAGCUGAUCUCUAGGUUGAAACUGUUGUGGUCAGAAAAGAUGCAUGAUGUGAUUUCGGUCUUCAGUUUGUUCGGACUUGCUUUGUGGUGCAACAUACGAUCCAUCCUGGAGAACGGUCCAUGUGCAGUGGAGGAGAAUGUGUAUUCGGUGCUGCCGAAGGGAAUGUGUUGCACGUCUGCUGGGUCCAUUUGGUUCUGUAGGGCUCAGCCAGAUCCUUAACCCACUGAGAAAAAGCAGGGAUUGAACCUGCAUCCUCACUGGAUACUAGUCAGGUUCUUAACCCACUGAGCCACAGUAGGAACUCCAUAAUAGGGUUUAUUACUGAUGGGAACUCCUUUCUUCUGGGCAAUGUUCUGCUUCGUCAGAUUUGCAUUCCUGGUGCCCCACUCCUUCUAACUACAGUGUCUCUCCAAGAACAAGUGAAGCGUCUCACCAAGAUCAGGAUGAUGCAGAGAACCAUGGGGUUACCUCGGGGCCCCCUGAUGCAAACAACACAAAAACAGGCUGCAUUUGGCAUGAUCAGAAUCCAGAGAUCGUGGGUGGCCAUCCCAUCAAGGGGAAUUUACCACUUACUCAGGAGGAGGAUACGCUGUGAGACUUGGAAGAAACUCCAGUCCUGCAGUCAGUCUUACAUUCGUGUUAACACGAGUGAAAGGUGGGACGUUAGAAAUCCUACUUUGCAGGCGGACGAGAUGGGGAAACGCAGCUUCUCACGUGCUGUGUGAGCGGCGGCGGGAGGCCGAGGCCUUUUCCCCCUUCCCCGAGUUCCGCAGCCGCGUGAGCAGAGCCGCUGGCUAGACCGCUGCACCGAAAGCCUCUUUGCGGAAUUUGCGGUCCUCGCUUUCCAGCGUGAACCUGUUCUGUGGAGAGACCCUGACUUUGGAGUCCAGCAAGGUGCUUUCUCCACCUCGGUGAGACUGGACAUUUUAACUUGCCUUCGGACAUCAAAGGACCUUGCCUGGUCUGUCAUCUCACAAGUCACCGAUUAUCUGCUAGUCUGUUACUAUGCCUUUGUACAGGAGAACUGAAAAUGUCAGAUUUAAGGAAGUCUCAAGGUCGACAGGUCCUAUUUGGGGAGCUUUUCAAUGAGCUGUUAUUAGGAUUAUGGCUAUGAUUUUGGUCCUUUCCAGAACCCUGAAUUCAGUUAAAGCUACUGCCUAUCCACCAAGUAGCUCUUUGAGUUUUCAAGAUUUCAAGAAUUAAGUUUGGAGUUCCCGUCGUGGCUCAGUGGGAACGAAUCUGACUAGGAACCAUGAGGUCACGGGUUCAAUCCCUGG